AAUUUUAAGGUCAAGCUACAAAGGGCGCAUGGUGAAUGCCUUGGCACUAGGAGCCGAAGAAGGACGCGAUAAGCUGCGAUAAGCCUUGGGUAGCCGCAAAUAGGCUGAGAUCCAGGGAUUUCCGAAUGAGGAAACUCACAUGGGUAACCCCAUGUAUCAUGCACUGAAUACAUAGGUGUAUGAGGGUAAACCCGGGGAACUGAAACAUCUAAGUACCCGGAGGAAGAGAAAGAAAAAUCGAUUUCCUAAGUAGCGGCGAGCGAACGGGAAAGAGCCCAAACCAGAAACUUGUUUCUGGGGUUGUGGAUAGAUCAUGAAAGAAGAGAUAUCUUAAUCGAAGAGGGCUGGAACGCCCUACCAUAGAAGGUAAUAGUCCUGUAGGUAAAAAGAGAAAACUUUAAGAUCUAAUCCAGAGUACCACGAGACACGUGAAACCUUGUGGGAAGCAGGGAGGACCACCUCCCAAGGCUAAAUACUACCUAGUGACCGAUAGUGAAGCAGUACCGUGAGGGAAAGGUGAAAAGAACCCCGGAAGGGGAGUGAAAUAGAACCUGAAACCGUGUGCCUACAACCGAUCGGAGCACGUUAAAGUGUGACGAUGUGCUUUUUGUAGAACGAGCCAGCGAGUUAC
This 631-nucleotide ribosomal RNA is filed under the name Clostridium botulinum. Its description in RNAcentral is "partial 23S ribosomal RNA". It matches the Rfam family "Bacterial large subunit ribosomal RNA", at positions 1 to 631 of the family's 2925-position model. Lineage: Bacteria; Bacillati; Bacillota; Clostridia; Eubacteriales; Clostridiaceae. The record is from RNAcentral.